This 468-nucleotide ribosomal RNA is filed under the name uncultured bacterium. RNAcentral describes it as "partial 16S ribosomal RNA". It matches the Rfam family "Bacterial small subunit ribosomal RNA", at positions 28 to 507 of the family's 1533-position model. The record is from RNAcentral.
GACGAACGCUGGCGGCGUGCUUAACACAUGCAAGUCGAACGGAAAGGCCCUGCUUUUGUGGGGUGCUCGAGUGGCGAACGGGUGAGUAACACGUGAGUAACCUGCCCUUGACUUUGGGAUUACUUCAGGAAACUGGGGCUAAUACCGGAUAGGAGCUCCUGCUGCAUGGUGGGGGUUGGAAAGUUUCGGCGGUUGGGGAUGGACUCGCGGCUUAUCAGCUUGUUGGUGGGGUAGUGGCUUACCAAGGCUUUGACGGGUAGCCGGCCUGAGAGGGUGACCGGCCACAUUGGGACUGAGAUACGGCACAGACUCCUACGGGAGGCAGCAGUGGGGAAUAUUGCACAAUGGGCGGAAGCCUGAUGCAGCAACGCCGCGUGCGGGAUGACGGCCUUCGGGUUGUAAACCGCUUUCGCCUGUGACGAAGCGUGAGUGACGGUAAUGGGUAAAGAGGCACCGGCUAACUACGUG